GGCCAGGUAGCUCAGUUGGUAGAGCAGGGGACUGAAAAUCCCUGUGUCGGUGGUUCAAUUCCACCCCUGGCCACCA
This 76-nucleotide transfer RNA is filed under the name Gammaproteobacteria bacterium. Its description in RNAcentral is "tRNA-Phe". It matches the Rfam family "tRNA". Rfam says of the family: Transfer RNA (tRNA) molecules are approximately 80 nucleotides in length. Lineage: Bacteria; Pseudomonadati; Pseudomonadota; Gammaproteobacteria. The record is from RNAcentral.